This 353-nucleotide unclassified non-coding RNA is filed under the name soil metagenome. RNAcentral's name for it is "partial contains 5.8S ribosomal RNA, internal transcribed spacer 2, and large subunit ribosomal RNA". The stretch from base 1 to 120 matches the Rfam family "5.8S ribosomal RNA", at positions 35 to 154 of the family's 154-position model. The record is from RNAcentral.
GAUGAAGAACGUAGCGAAAUGCGAUAAGUAAUGUGAAUUGCAGAAUUCAGUGAAUCAUCGAAUCUUUGAACGCACAUUGCGCCCGCGAGUAUUCUCGCGGGCAUGCCUGUCCGAGCGUCAUUUCAACCCUCAGAGCCCGCCUGCUUCGGCAGGCGCGGCGCUGGUGUUGGGGAUCGGCCUAACCGCCGUCCCCCAAAUACAGUGGCGGUCUCGCUGCAGCCUCCCCUGCGUAGUAGCAACACUCGCAUGCGGAGCGCGGCGCGGCCACGCCGUAAAACCCCCGACUUUCUGAACGUUGACCUCGGAUCAGGUAGGAAUACCCGCUGAACUUAAGCAUAUCAAUAAGCGGAAGA